CUUCUAUGAUGACAGCUCACUAGGCAGGCAGCGUGGAUCUAUGUUCCAGUCUCCUCUUGCAGAUCAGAUACCACCUCUGAGAUCCUUCUCUGCUCCUCACUGACCAAACUCAAGGAACAGAUCUUCCCUGCCCAGGUCUCCAGGACCCCAACCUACCCACUUCUAGGAGAGAAUUCACACAGGUCUUGAGGAAUAGAGACUACAAACAAAUCAAGUCUUCUGUGGGAAUGCUGGGCCAUGGGCUUUGGAAUCACCACCAGUGAUGGAACCCGAAGUAAGCUACUAAACCUCGACAGGCUCAUUCAUGAAUCACCACCAGUGAUGGAACCCCAGGUGGUCCUGAAAGGAGGAGGUGCUUUGCUUCUCUUUUUCGCAGAUGUCAAUUAUGGAUCAACUUCUGAGUCACAUAGAAGAGCACCAUCAAUUGGCCAUUUCUCACCUGAUCACUGAGGAUAUAAAGUGCUUUUCCAGACUCCAGGACUCGGUUCAUUGCUAGUAUCAGGACGCCUCUCAUGUAUGGGAAGCCAGAAACAUCCCAGGAGCCUCACUGACUGCUUGGGCACAGCCCUCUGAGCAGACCUAUGAAGAAACAGAAGGAUUUGUGCCUUUUAGGUAUCUC
Molecule: long non-coding RNA, 619 nt
Filed under: Homo sapiens (human)
Lineage: Eukaryota; Metazoa; Chordata; Mammalia; Primates; Hominidae
Description: HSALNT0376941
Source: RNAcentral